This 372-nucleotide ribosomal RNA is filed under the name uncultured bacterium. Its description in RNAcentral is "bacterial SSU rRNA". It matches the Rfam family "Bacterial small subunit ribosomal RNA", at positions 524 to 898 of the family's 1533-position model. The record is from RNAcentral.
UACGGAGGGUCCAAGCGUUAUCCGGAUUUAUUGGGUUUAAAGGGUGCGUAGGCGGACCUGUAAGUCAGUGGUGAAAUCCUGCAGCUUAACUGUAGAACUGCCAUUGAUACUGCUGGUCUUGAGUAUAGUUGAGGUAGGCGGAAUGAGUAGUGUAGCGGUGAAAUGCUUAGAUAUUACUCAGAACACCGAUUGCGAAGGCAGCUUACUAAGCUAUUACUGACGCUGAUGCACGAAAGCGUGGGGAUCGAACAGGAUUAGAUACCCUGGUAGUCCACGCCGUAAACGAUGCUCACUCGCUGUUUGCGAUAUAUUGUAAGCGGCCAAGCGAAAGUUUUAAGUGAGCCACCUGGGGAGUACGAUCGCAAGGUUGAA